UCUGUGCCCGAUCUCGUCUGAUUUCGGAAGCUAAGCAGGGUUGAGCCUGGUAAGUACUUGGAUGGGAGACUGCCUGGGAAUACCAGGU
Molecule: ribosomal RNA, 88 nt
Filed under: Sinocyclocheilus grahami
Lineage: Eukaryota; Metazoa; Chordata; Actinopteri; Cypriniformes; Cyprinidae
Source: RNAcentral